Molecule: ribosomal RNA, 253 nt
Filed under: uncultured bacterium
Lineage: Bacteria
Description: partial 16S ribosomal RNA
Rfam family: Bacterial small subunit ribosomal RNA
Source: RNAcentral
UACGUAGGGCGCAAGCGUUGUCCGGAAUUAUUGAGCGUAAAGAGCUCGUAGGCGGUUUGUCGCGUCGGGAGUGAAAACGCCGGGCUUAACUCGGUGCUUGCUUUCGAUACGGGCAGACUAGAGGCAUGCAGGGGAGAACGGAAUUCCUGGUGUAGCGGUGAAAUGCGCAGAUAUCAGGAGGAACACCGGUGGCGAAGGCGGUUCUCUGGGCAUGUCCUGACGCUGAGGAGCGAAAGUGUGGGGAGCGAACAGG